Molecule: ribosomal RNA, 1242 nt
Filed under: metagenome
Description: bacterial LSU rRNA
Rfam family: Bacterial large subunit ribosomal RNA
Source: RNAcentral
UGAAUACGAGACGCUAAGGCGUCGAAGUAGUGUAUGUCAUACUUCCAAGAAAAGCUUGCACUGUCAUAGAUAAAAAACGCCUGUACCAUAACCGACACAGGUGGGUAGGUAGAGUAUACUAAGGGGCGCGAGAUAUCUCUCUCUAAGGAACUCGGCAAAAUAACUCCGUAACUUCGGGAGAAGGAGUGCCUUAUUAUUAAGGUUGCAAUAACAAGAUCCAAGCAACUGUUUAUCAAAAACACAGGUCUCCGCUAAGUCGUAAGACGAUGUAUGGGGGCUGACGCCUGCCCAGUGCCAGAAGGUUAAAGAAGCUGGUUAGCAUUUGCGAAGCUAGUAACUGAAGCCCUGGUGAACGGCGGCCGUAACAAUAACGGUCCUAAGGUAGCGAAAUUCCUUGUCGGGUAAGUUCCGACCCGCACGAAAGGCGUAAUGAUUUGGAUACUGUCUCGGAGAGGGGCUUGGUGAAAUAGACUUGUCUGUGAAGAUGCGGACUACCUGCACCAGGACAGAAAGACCCUAUGAAGCUUUACUGUAACUUGAAAUUGAAAUUGGACUUUAUUCGCGCAGUAUAGGUGGGAGGCGUUGAUGAUAAUCUUGCGGGAUUAUUGGAGCCAUUAGUGAGAUACCACUCUUGUAAUGUUAGAUUUCUAACUUUGAAUCAUUAUCUGGUCAAAGAACAGUUUCAGGCGGGCAGUUUGACUGGGGCGGUCGCCUCCUAAACGGUAACGGAGGCGUACAAAGGUUUCCUCUGAACGGUUAGAAAUCGUAUCUAGAGUGUAAAGGCAUAAGGAAGCUUGACUGUGAGACCUACAAGUCGAGCAGGGACGAAAGUCGGUCUUAGUGAUCUGACGGUACUGAGUGGAAAGGCCGUCACUCAACGGAUAAAAGUUACUCUAGGAUAACAGGCUGAUCUCCCCCAAGAGUUCACAUCGACGGGGAGGUUUGGCACCUGAUGUCGGCUCAUCGCAUCCUGGGGCGGUAGUACGUCCCAAGGGUUGGGCUGUUCGCCCAUGAAAGCGGUACGCGAGCUGGGUUCAGAACGUCGUGAGACAGUUCGGUCCAUAUCCGGUGUAGGCGUUAGAAUAUUGAGAGGAGCCUUCUUUAGUACGAGAGGACCGAGAAGGACAUACCUCUGGUGUACCAGUUAUCGUGCCAACGGUAGACGCUGGGUAGCUAUGUAUGGAGUGGACAACCGCUGAAAGCAUCUAAGUGGGAAGCCCACCUCAAGAUAAGUAUUCUCAU